This is a non-coding RNA of Mus caroli (Ryukyu mouse), 1532 nucleotides long. Lineage: Eukaryota; Metazoa; Chordata; Mammalia; Rodentia; Muridae. The record is from RefSeq and is a predicted model, not a curated record.
AGGUUUUCACGUGGAAGAAGCAGAAGAGACCAGUUCUAAUCUCAUUCCUUCCCAAGUAUCAGGUUCUGACUCUCUUCUGAGAAGCAUUUAUGGACAUGAGUUGGGCACAGGGACAUGCUGUACAGCCUUCUAGAACUUGGAACCCAAGACCUUAAAAGGAUAAGAUGACUGUGACAUUGCAGUCUUAGACUGACAUUAUAUGUUUGAAACAAUGAAUACUUAUUGUCCAAGGAACCUUCAGAGAUGAAGAACAGGCAACCUUGGAGCUCAUUUCUCUCACUGGUCAUCAACUUGAACUAAGCGGUCAGGUCUUCAUUUUCUUCAUCAUCUGCUUGUUGUAGAGGGCUGGAAUGUUAGCUAUCUAGUAGCACACUAGUGUGCUUCUGUAGUGAUAAGGCAGAGAGGGUGGAAAGACCACUCUGCAUCUAAAACAGAAAUAGAGCAUGCCUGAAACCCAGUGAUACCCAAAGAUUUUGGAAUAGACUAGAGAUGCCCCCUGUGUGGAUCUGAACUCUCCCAUCACACUGUAGCGAAUUGUGUAUCUAAUCAGCCAGGAGUUUCUCCUACCUCUGCACACUGGCUAAUGAUGACUACAGAGAUGGACUCUCAAGGAUUAUUAACAAAUGCAGGGUGCACCUUGGCUUCAGAGCCCUGGAGCCUGUGGUUUAGGAAUCCAGCAGAAAAAUGGCACAGUCGACAAGCACUAAGGUGUUUUGGAGAUGCCCAGAACUCCUGCCUUGUAUUCUAGGCCCAUAUCUGUGUAUUAAAAAGUUAUACAGAAAACAGAACAUGGUCAACAGACUGAAUAAAUCAACCCACCGAAACUCCCACAACCCCAUCAGCUGGCAAUGAGAUGUAGUCUCCGCCUUGAUUCACUGCCUCUGACAUUUGUUUGGCUGCACUGGAAGGAUGUCUGGCACCACCCCUGUUGGUUCCGAAAGCUAAGGAUGACCACUCUUUGGAAGAGCUGGUCAGAGGGCUUCUGAGAACAUAAGGUCACAUACCUAGAGACACACUUCUCUCCAUGAUAGCCACUCCACCCAAAAGAAGCAAGUGGGUGUAAAGUGCUGUGAUGCACUGCCCUAACCUGGAAAAUCAUAGUCACUCCCUGAUUCUUGGGGCUCUUUCUUCAUCCCCAUGUUAUAACCCCAAUGCCCAGUAAGCAUAAUAGCGAGGAGCUCACAGAAUAAUAGCAUUGACCUUGUCAGCAACUGCCUUUGGGAUGGACAAACGGUUUUCCAUUCCUUGACUUUAAGGAAUUAUAAUAACCCAGAGACAUAAUUCACUUCCCAGAGGCUCCACUUCCUGUGCCCCAUUGAUGGAAGACCCAGCUCAAGUACACCUCCUCCAGAGCUACAGGAAUAUUCAGAUGCUUUCCCUGAUCUUGACUGAACUUUGUGCCUCACCUGGAGUGUAGCCUCCCAGAGCCUGAAGCUGGCUGAUGCAGACCUUGUCGCCACUGAGGUGGAGCCACCUGCCUUGCAGCUUUCUGACUUGGCUGGCUUCUUUUGGAAGUGUCAACUGCCCUGAGA